RNAcentral lists this ribosomal RNA (438 nucleotides) under uncultured bacterium. RNAcentral describes it as "partial 16S ribosomal RNA". It matches the Rfam family "Bacterial small subunit ribosomal RNA", at positions 339 to 795 of the family's 1533-position model. The record is from RNAcentral.
CUACGGGUUGCACCAGUGAGGAAUAUUGCACAAUGGGGGGAACCCUGAUGCAGCAACGCCGCGUGGAGGAUGACGCAUUUCGGUGUGUAAACUCCUUUUAUAUGUCAAGAAAAUGACGGUAGCAUAUGAAUAAGCACCGGCUAACUCCGUGCCAGAGCCGCGGUAAUACGGCGGGUGCAAGCGUUACUCGGAAUCACUGGGCGUAAAGGACGCGUAGGCGGGUUGGAAAGUCAGGUGUGAAAUCCUACAGCUUAACUGUAGAACUGCACUUGAAACUUCUAAUCUAGAGUAUGGGAGGGGGAGAUGGAAUUAGUGGUGUAGGGGUAAAAUCCGUAGAUAUCACUAGGAAUACCUAAAGCGAAGGCGAUCUCCUGGAACAUUACUGACGCUAAGGCGUGAAAGCGUGGGGAGCAAACAGGAUUAGAUACCCCCGUAGUC